GACGAACGCUGGCGGCGUGCCUAAUACAUGCAAGUCGACCUUAGUGGUGAACGGGUGAGUAACACGUGGGUAACCUGCGCAGCAGAAUGGGAUAACACUUGGAAACAGGUGCUAAUACCGUAUACUGAUGGAUGGACCUGGGGUGCAUUAGGUAGGUGGUGAGGUAAAGGCUCACCAAGGCAACGAUGCAUAGCCGACCUGAGAGGGUGAUCCGCCACAUUGGGACUGAGACACGGCCCAAACUCCUACGGGAGGCAGCAGUAGGGAAUAUUGGACAAUGGGCGAAAGCCUGAUCCAGCCAUGCCGCGUGUGUGAAGAAGGUCUUCGGAUUGUAAAGCACUUUAAGUUGGGAGGCGUUACCAACAGAAUAAGCACCGGCUAACUUCGUGCCAGCAGCCGCGGUAAUUC
Molecule: ribosomal RNA, 408 nt
Filed under: uncultured bacterium
Lineage: Bacteria
Description: partial 16S ribosomal RNA
Rfam family: Bacterial small subunit ribosomal RNA
Source: RNAcentral